UCCAGCCUGCCCAGUGAUAAAAUUUAACGGCCGCGGUACCCUAACCGUGCGAAGGUAGCAUAAUCACUUGUUCUUUAAAUGAGGACUAGUAUCAACGGCAUCACGAGGGUUAAACUGUCUCCUUUCUCCAAUCAGUGAAACUGAUCUUCCCGUGAAGAAGCGGGAAUAAACUUAUAAGACGAGAAGACCCCAUGGAGCUUUAAACCCAGUUACAUCCUUAUAUCUAAAUUCUUUUAAACCUUUAAGGUGCUGUACAUCUGGUUUUAGGUUGGGGUGACCGCGGAGUAUAAACUAACCUCCAUAAUGAAUGGAACUAUUUCCUUAUCUAAGAAUUACGCCUCUAAGAAUUAAUAUUUUAACAUUUAAUGAUCCAAUAUUUGAUCAACGAACCAAGUUACCCUGGGGAUAACAGCGCAAUCCGCUUCAAGAGCUCCUAUCGACAAGCGGGUUUACGACCCGAUGUUGGAUCAGGGUAUCCUAGUGGUGCAGUAGUUACUAAAGGUUCGUUUGUUCAACGAUUAAAACCCU
RNAcentral lists this ribosomal RNA (528 nucleotides) under Blommersia variabilis. Its description in RNAcentral is "partial 16S ribosomal RNA". It matches the Rfam family "Bacterial large subunit ribosomal RNA", at positions 1853 to 2597 of the family's 2925-position model. Lineage: Eukaryota; Metazoa; Chordata; Amphibia; Anura; Mantellidae. The record is from RNAcentral.